This 404-nucleotide ribosomal RNA is filed under the name Papilio fuscus cilix. RNAcentral describes it as "partial 16S ribosomal RNA". The record is from RNAcentral. Lineage: Eukaryota; Metazoa; Arthropoda; Insecta; Lepidoptera; Papilionidae.
GGGCUGCAGUAUUUUGACUGUACAAAGGUAGCAUAAUCAAUAGUCUCUUAAUUGGUGACUUGUAUGAAAGAUUGGAUGAGAUAUAUACUGUCUCUAAUUAAUUAAUUGAAAUUAAUUUUUUAGUAAAAAAGCUAAAAUAAUUUUAAAAGACGAGAAGACCCUAUAGAGUUUAAUAAUUUAUUUGAUUAUUAUUAAUAUAUAAUUUUUAAAAUUAAAAUUAAAUAAAUUAUUUUGUUGGGGUGAUAAAAAAAUUAAAUUAACUUUUUUUUUAUGAUUAACAUUAAUUUAUGAGUAAAUGAUCCAUUUAUAGUGAUUAAAAGAAAAAAUUACCUUAGGGAUAACAGCGUAAUUUUUUUUUUUAGUUCAAAUAGGAAAAAAAGUUUGCGACCUCGAUGUUGGAUUAA